GUGAUAAAAGGGGAUAGGGUUGACUGCUGUCUUCCUCUUAUGGAAUAAGAAGGGUAGCUGGACGUGGGAGGUAAGAAACUUGUACCUCUUCUCUUUCUUUUGUUGAGCAUGAAGUGCAGUCUGGAAAUGCGAGUGAGAAUUUUGCUCCUCUCCUUGAAUACAAGGACUUGUUUGGAAAUGGAAGGAGCCUCAGCUGGGACAUCAAACUGAGUCUACCAAAUUGGAACGGCAUGCAAGGCCAUUUCUCACCUCCAGCCACUGUAAUCUGGUGGGGCUCUUGGAGCAAAAUCCUUUCCAACUGGGUUAUGCUAAAGCCAAGUACCACACUCUAAUAUUUAUAGCACCCAGGCUGCCCAUCUGACUGCAGAACUGCCACAUCUGAGACCCUUCUCCAGCAUUUCUUUGGCAUGGUAGCAAAGGGAAAGUUUUGGCUCAAGUUCUGUCUCCUGUCUGAUUUCCUUUUCCCUGCUCCUGACAAAAUGGAUGGAGCAUAAAGAGCACUGCAGCUCUACCUUACACAACUGAAUGAGCUCACAUGGAGGAGCAAAGUCUUGUCCACAUGUUCUCUCUCAGCUGCAGCUGUGUUGGCUGUGUUUUUGUCACUGAAUACUCAUCUGUACACCCUGCCAGGAGAGAAGGUUGUUAAGCUGCACAAUGCCUUAACCAAUCUUAGUUGAAAUGAACUCAGUGUAGCUUGCAGAUCUCAAAGCAAACCUAUACAGUUGACACAAAGGAGGUGGGGAGGGCUCCCAGGAAGGGGUCUGUGUGAACAGUUCUUGGAAGGUGGCCUGCAGAUGGAGGAAUAAGAAGGUCUCCAUCAGCACAUCAUAGCCAGAAGAGGAUAUAGGAACAAGACUUCAACCACAUCCAAAAAUGGAGGCUGAUGCAGCUUCUGAGGAGAAUUGAUGAAGGCACUGAAUUGCGCCUGAACUCCUGUGCUUACUUGUAUUUCCUGGCCUAGUCUGAAAGAUGUCAAUUUAGCUAUUAAGGUCUAAUAACAAAAUGGAAAGCUUAAUUAUAAAUGAUGAAAUGUUGUAUUAGAGGUUAACCAAACAGUCUGAUAAACAAUUCUGUUGUUGCAUUUCAUCUCCCUGUUAAUAAAUUACUGGUUUGUCAGUUGUCUGCUUC
Molecule: long non-coding RNA, 1128 nt
Organism: Hirundo rustica (Barn swallow)
Lineage: Eukaryota; Metazoa; Chordata; Aves; Passeriformes; Hirundinidae
Exons: 2
Source: RefSeq, a predicted model, not a curated record